This 444-nucleotide ribosomal RNA is filed under the name uncultured soil bacterium. RNAcentral describes it as "bacterial SSU rRNA". It matches the Rfam family "Bacterial small subunit ribosomal RNA", at positions 26 to 518 of the family's 1533-position model. The record is from RNAcentral.
AGAACGAACGCUGGCGGCAUGCCUAAUACAUGCAAGUCGAACGAACACUUCGGUGUUAGUGGCGCACGGGUGCGUAACGCGUGGGAAUCUGCCCUUGGGUUCGGAAUAACAGUUGGAAACGACUGCUAAUACCGGAUGAUAUCGAAAGAUCAAAGAUUUAUCGCCCAGGGAUGAGCCCGCGUAGGAUUAGCUAGUUGGUGAGGUAAAGGCUCACCAAGGCGACGAUCCUUAGCUGGUCUGAGAGGAUGAUCAGCCACACUGGGACUGAGACACGGCCCAGACUCCUACGGGAGGCAGCAGUAGGGAAUAUUGGACAAUGGCGAAAGCCUGAUCCAGCAAUGCCGCGUGAGUGAUGAAGCCUUAGGUUGUAAAGCUCUUUACCCGAGAUGAUAAUGACAGUAUCGGGAGAAUAAGCCCCGGCUAAACUCCGUGCCAGCAGCCGAC